Molecule: ribosomal RNA, 436 nt
Filed under: uncultured Pseudobutyrivibrio sp.
Lineage: Bacteria; Bacillati; Bacillota; Clostridia; Lachnospirales; Lachnospiraceae
Description: partial 16S ribosomal RNA
Rfam family: Bacterial small subunit ribosomal RNA
Source: RNAcentral
ACGGGAGGCAGCAGUGGGGAAUAUUGCACAAUGGGCGAAAGCCUGAUGCAGCGACGCCGCGUGAGCGAAGAAGUAUUUCGGUAUGUAAAGCUCUAUCAGCAGGGAAGAAAAAAUGACGGUACCUGACUAAGAAGCACCGGCUAACUCCGUGCCAGCAGCCGCGGUAAUACGGAGGAUGCAAGCGUUAUCCGGAUUUAUUGGGUUUAAAGGGUGCGUAGGCUGUGUGGCAAGUCAGCGGUGAAAUGCCGGAGCUCAACUCCGGAACUGCCGUUGAUACUGUCAUGCUGGAAUACGGAUGCCGUGGGAGGAAUGAGUAGUGUAGCGGUGAAAUGCAUAGAUAUUACUCAGAACACCGAUUGCGAAGGCAUCUCACGAAUCCGUCAUUGACGCUGAGGCACGAAAGCGUGGGGAUCAAACAGGAUUAGAUACCCUGGUA